Long non-coding RNA from Etheostoma cragini (Arkansas darter), 172 nucleotides. RefSeq lists it as uncharacterized. The transcript is spliced from 4 exons. The record is from RefSeq and is a predicted model, not a curated record. Lineage: Eukaryota; Metazoa; Chordata; Actinopteri; Perciformes; Percidae.
AAUACCAUUAAUGAGUUUCUGUUACAUUCACAGGUGUGACUAAGUGUCCCAGUCAGCAUCCACAAAAACAGGACCCUGGUAAUGGCACACCUAAAUGAACUGCAGGCAUUAUUAAUGUUAUCAGUUACACUUGUGCUGUUCCUAAAGAGAUGAGAUCAGUCACAAAAUGAAU